AUGCUUAUGCUACUUGUAUCACCAGUGUUUCCUCUUUUUUUAGGGUGGUCCCUCUUGUUUUUUAGGGUGCAACAACUGAUGGUUAUUUGUCCGAAACAAAAGUUAGUGAGUAAAGUUGCUUAUUUGAUAGAACAAAAAUGUCAGAAACAAAUCCCAUUAAUGUUUAUGUGCUAUGUGCUAUGCUUUGCAGCUGCUGACCUCUUCCUGUGGAGGAACAAGAAGAUCUCUGCCGGGGUGCUCGCGGGUGCCACCGCCAUUUGGCUGCUAUUUGAGGUUCUGGAGUACCACCUCCUCAUGCUUCGUGGCUACAACAGUACUUGUGUUGAUGCCAAAAUUAGAAAGCCGUUUUGCUCUGUUUCUGAAAUUUUUGCCAGCUGA
This 378-nucleotide ribosomal RNA is filed under the name Triticum aestivum (bread wheat). Its description in RNAcentral is "partial small subunit ribosomal RNA". The record is from RNAcentral. Lineage: Eukaryota; Viridiplantae; Streptophyta; Magnoliopsida; Poales; Poaceae.